Molecule: ribosomal RNA, 752 nt
Filed under: marine metagenome
Description: bacterial SSU rRNA
Rfam family: Bacterial small subunit ribosomal RNA
Source: RNAcentral
AAGCAUGGGUAGCGAAGAGGAUUAGAUACCCUCGUAGUCCAUGCCGUAAACGAUGUGUGUUAGACGUUGGAAAUUUAUUUUCAGUGUCGCAGGGAAACCGAUAAACACACCGCCUGGGGAGUACGACCGCAAGGUUAAAACUCAAAUGAAUUGACGGGGACCCGCACAAGUAGUGGAGCAUGUGGUUUAAUUCGAAGAUACGCGCAGAACCUUACCAACACUUGACAUGUUCGUCGCGACUCUAAGAGAUUAGAGUUUUCGGUUCGGCCGGACGAAACACAGGUGCUGCAUGGCUGUCGUCAGCUCGUGUCGUGAGAUGUUGGGUUAAGUCCCGCAACGAGCGCAACCCUCACUUUUAGUUGCCAUCAUUAAGUUGGGCACUCUGAAAGAACUGCCAGUGAUAAGCUGGAGGAAGGUGGGGAUGACGUCAAGUCCUCAUGGCCCUUACGUGUUGGGCUACACACGUGCUACAAUGGUAUCUACAACAGGAAGCAAGACUGCGAAGUUAAGCAAAUCCCUAAAAGAUACCUCAGUUCGGAUUGCACUCUGCAACUCGAGUGCAUGAAGCUGGAAUUACUAGUAAUCGUGGAUCAGCGUGCCACGGUGAAUGCGUUCCCGGGUCUUGUACACACCGCCCGUCACACCAUGGGAGUUGGUUCUACCUUAAGGCAAGGUUUAAAACCCUUGACCACGGUAUAGUCAGCGACUGGGGUGAAGUCGUAACAAGGUAGCCGUAGGGGAACCUGCGGCUG